GUCCUUUGGUUUUUCUUCAGAUCGUAUAAAUCUUUCGCCUUUUACUAAAGAUUUCCGUGGAGAGAAACAGUCCGGGGUUUUUACCCAAUUUUUUGAGGCUUCACCUAGGUGAGGCU
Small nuclear RNA from Dermochelys coriacea (leatherback sea turtle), 116 nucleotides. RefSeq annotates it as U5 spliceosomal RNA. The transcript has a single exon. NCBI's taxonomy places the organism in Eukaryota, Metazoa, Chordata, Testudines, Dermochelyidae. The record is from RefSeq and is a predicted model, not a curated record.